AGUGGCACAUGUUUGUUGUGAG
RNAcentral lists this microRNA (22 nucleotides) under Homo sapiens (human). RNAcentral describes it as "hsa-miR-891a-3p". Its record names the gene hsa-miR-891a-3p. Lineage: Eukaryota; Metazoa; Chordata; Mammalia; Primates; Hominidae. The record is from miRBase by way of RNAcentral.